Molecule: ribosomal RNA, 426 nt
Filed under: Leptotrichia wadei
Lineage: Bacteria; Fusobacteriati; Fusobacteriota; Fusobacteriia; Fusobacteriales; Leptotrichiaceae
Description: bacterial SSU rRNA
Rfam family: Bacterial small subunit ribosomal RNA
Source: RNAcentral
GAUGAACGCUGACAGAAUGCUUAACACAUGCAAGUCUUUGGCGAAGCUGUGCUUGCACAGCCUAGCCAAGGCGGACGGGUGAGUAACGCGUAAGGGACUUGCCCUGCAGUCAGGGAUAACAGACGGAAACGACUGAUAAGACCUGAUAAAGUCAGGCGGACUCAUGUCCAGCCUGAUGAAAAGGAAUGCUGCAGGAGAGCCUUGCGUCCUAUUAGCUUGUUGGUGGGGUAACGGCCCACCAAGGCGAUGAUAGGUAGCCGGCCUGAGAGGGUGGACGGCCACAAGGGGACUGAGAUACGGCCCUUACUCCUACGGGAGGCAGCAGUGGGGAAUAUUGGACAAUGGGGGCAACCCUGAUCCAGCAAUUCUGUGUGCACGAUGAAGGUCUUCGGAUUGUAAAGUGCUUUCAGCAGGGAAGAAAAAAAU